AUUGAACGCUGGCGGCAGGCCUAACACAUGCAAGUCGAACGAGUGGCGGACGGGUGAGUAAUGUCCGGGAAACUGCCUGAUGGAGGGGGAUAACUACGGGAAACGGUAGCUAAUACCGCAUACCAUCGGAUGUGCCCAGAUGGGAUUAGCUAGUAGGUGGGGUAAAGGCUCACCUAGGCGACGAUCCGUAGCUGGUCUGAGAGGAUGACCGGCCACACGGGAACUGAGACACGGUCCAGAGGCCUACGGGAGGCAGCAGUGGGGAAUAUUGAACAAUGGGCGCAAGCCUGAUACAGCCAUGCCGCGUGUAUGAGGAAGGCCUUCGGGUUGUAAAGUACUUUAAGCGGGGAGGCGUUACCCGCAGAAGAAGCGCCGGCUAACUCCGUGCCAGCAGCCGCGGUAAUUC
This 406-nucleotide ribosomal RNA is filed under the name uncultured bacterium. Its description in RNAcentral is "partial 16S ribosomal RNA". It matches the Rfam family "Bacterial small subunit ribosomal RNA", at positions 29 to 526 of the family's 1533-position model. The record is from RNAcentral.